GUGCCAGCAGCCGCGGUAAUACGUAGGUGGCAAGCGUUAUCCGGAAUUAUUGGGCGUAAAGCGCGCGUAGGCGGUUUUUUAAGUCUGAUGUGAAAGCCCACGGCUCAACCGUGGAGGGUCAUUGGAAACUGGAAAACUUGAGUGCAGAAGAGGAAAGUGGAAUUCCAUGUGUAGCGGUGAAAUGCGCAGAGAUAUGGAGGAACACCAGUGGCGAAGGCGACUUUCUGGUCUGUAACUGACGCUGAUGUGCGAAAGCGUGGGGAUCAAACAGGAUUAGAUACC
Molecule: ribosomal RNA, 282 nt
Filed under: uncultured Staphylococcus sp.
Lineage: Bacteria; Bacillati; Bacillota; Bacilli; Caryophanales; Staphylococcaceae
Description: partial 16S ribosomal RNA
Rfam family: Bacterial small subunit ribosomal RNA
Source: RNAcentral